GGCAGUUCUCGUGUGAUGCACCUCAGAAUCAGGCUCCCUCCUCUCUGGUUCCCGGUGCAUCGCCUGAAAACCGCA
This is a non-coding RNA of Myotis davidii, 75 nucleotides long. NCBI's taxonomy places the organism in Eukaryota, Metazoa, Chordata, Mammalia, Chiroptera, Vespertilionidae. The record is from Rfam.